This 596-nucleotide long non-coding RNA is filed under the name Heterocephalus glaber (naked mole-rat). RNAcentral describes it as "lncRNA (ENSHGLG00000046816.1)". Lineage: Eukaryota; Metazoa; Chordata; Mammalia; Rodentia; Bathyergidae. The record is from RNAcentral.
GCUUUACAAGGAAAAACUAUAAAAGAGGUUCUUUUUCAACAAAAUGAAGACAGUGUGCGAUGGUUGCCAGAAUGGCUCGUGUGCCAGGUGGAUGUCUCUUCAACAGAAUCUCUUCCUCCUCAUAAUGAUGGCCACAAUGACCAGAUGUGAGAUGUUCUGGGCUUAUGUCCCUGACCCUCCGCUUCUCCAUCCUGUUACCUGGGAAGACCCACCAAUUUCUGUGUACUGUUCGACUAGUGACGGCUGGCACCGUCACAAUGAACAAAUCUUCAGUAGCACGGGAGCUAGCACAAAGAAUCAACAACUGGGAUCUCAUCUUAUUAAAAAGUUUCUGGACUGCAAGAGAAACCACCAACAGAGCUAAGAGACAACCUACAAUGUAGGAAAAAAUUUUUAGCAGCUGUACCUCAGAGAAAGAUCUACUAUCAAGAAUAUAUAAAGAAUGUACAUGAAAAUCACUCUAAGCCAUGCUGAAGGAUUUGAUUGUGGAGGUCACAGUGCUCAUGGUGGUGUUGAUGCCACAUGGGACGUGUGUGUCCCUAAUGAGGCCAGAUGUAAACUUCACUUCCCAUAAAGAACACCCUCUGAACAUCUCC